Molecule: ribosomal RNA, 465 nt
Filed under: Vreelandella stevensii
Lineage: Bacteria; Pseudomonadati; Pseudomonadota; Gammaproteobacteria; Oceanospirillales; Halomonadaceae
Description: partial 16S ribosomal RNA
Rfam family: Bacterial small subunit ribosomal RNA
Source: RNAcentral
CCUACGGGUGGCAGCAGUGGGGAAUAUUGGACAAUGGGGGCAACCCUGAUCCAGCCAUGCCGCGUGUGUGAAGAAGGCCCUCGGGUUGUAAAGCACUUUCAGUGAGGAAGAACGCCUGGUGGUUAAUACCCAUCAGGAAAGACAUCACUCACAGAAGAAGCACCGGCUAACUCCGUGCCAGCAGCCGCGGUAAUACGGAGGGUGCGAGCGUUAAUCGGAAUUACUGGGCGUAAAGCGCGCGUAGGUGGCUUGAUAAGCCGGUUGUGAAAACCCCGGGCUCAACCUGGGAACGGCAUCCGGAACUGUCAAGCUAGAGUGCAGGAGAGGAAGGUAGAAUUCCCGGUGUAGCGGUGAAAUGCGUAGAGAUCGGGAGGAAUACCAGUGGCGAAGGCGGCCUUCUGGACUGACACUGACACUGAGGUGCGAAAGCGUGGGUAGCAAACAGGAUUAGAUACCCGUGUAGUC